Molecule: ribosomal RNA, 219 nt
Filed under: Triticum aestivum (bread wheat)
Lineage: Eukaryota; Viridiplantae; Streptophyta; Magnoliopsida; Poales; Poaceae
Description: partial small subunit ribosomal RNA
Source: RNAcentral
AUGAGCUCCACUGAGGUCGCCAGCGGUGAGUGCAAGAAGAUGUCGUGGCCGGAGGUGGUCGGGCUGACCAUCAAGGAGGCCAAGGAGAUCAUCCUCAAGGACAAGCCUGACGCAGACAUCAUCGUCGUGCCGGUUGGCUCAGCGGUGACUGAAGACUUCAGGCCGAACCGCGUCCGCAUCUUCGUCGGCACUGUCGCCGAGACCCCCCACGUUCGCUAG